This 29-nucleotide small RNA is filed under the name Bombyx mori (domestic silkworm). RNAcentral describes it as "ovarian small RNA-20703". Lineage: Eukaryota; Metazoa; Arthropoda; Insecta; Lepidoptera; Bombycidae. The record is from RNAcentral.
UACCGAAUGCUACCGAAUGCCGUUGCCGA